RNAcentral lists this ribosomal RNA (253 nucleotides) under uncultured bacterium. RNAcentral describes it as "partial 16S ribosomal RNA". It matches the Rfam family "Bacterial small subunit ribosomal RNA", at positions 524 to 776 of the family's 1533-position model. The record is from RNAcentral.
UACAGAGGGUGCGAGCGUUGUCCGGAAUCACUGGGCGUAAAGGGCGCGUAGGCGGUUCGCUAAGUGGCUGGUGAAAUCCCGGGGCUCAACUCCGGGGCUGCCGGUCAGACUGGCGGACUCGAGCACGGUAGAGGCGGAUGGAAUUCCCGGAGUAGCGGUGGAAUGCGUAGAUAUCGGGAAGAAUACCGGUGGCGAAGGCGUUCCGCUGGGCCGUUGCUGACGCUGAGGCGCGACAGCGUGGGGAGCAAACAGG